Molecule: ribosomal RNA, 441 nt
Filed under: uncultured bacterium
Lineage: Bacteria
Description: bacterial SSU rRNA
Rfam family: Bacterial small subunit ribosomal RNA
Source: RNAcentral
ACUCCUACGGGAGGCAGCAGUAGGGAAUAUUGGUCAAUGGGCGAAAGCCUGAACCAGCCAUGCCGCGUGUCAGAUGAAGGUCCUCUGGAUUGUAAAUGACUUUUCUACGGGAAGAAUGAGCCGUCUGCGGACGGAAGUUGACGGUACCGUAGGAAUAAGCACCGGCUAACUACGUGCCAGCAGCCGCGGUAAUACGUAGGGGUGCAAGCGUUGUCCGGAUUUACUGGGGUUUAAAGGGUACGUAGGCGGUUGUGCCAAGUCUGGGGUGAAAGUUUGCAGCUCAACUGUAAAAUUGCCUUGGAUACUGGUCGGCUAGAGUAGUGGAGCGGUGGCUGGAAUUUAUAGUGUAGCGGUGAAAUGCUUAGAUACUAUGAGGAACACCAAUUGCGAAGGCAGGUCACUGGUCACUAACUGACGCUGAGGUACGAAAGUGUGGGGAUC